GACGAACGCUGGCGGCGUGCUUAACACAUGCAAGUCGAGCGGUAAGGCCCUUCGGGUACGACGAGCGGCGAACGGGUGAGUAACACGUGGGUGACCUGCCUCUAGCUCUGGGAUAAGCCUGGGAAACUGGGUCUAAUACCGGAUAUGACUCCACGGCGCAUGUUGUGGGGUGGAAAGCCUUGUGUGGCUAGAGAUGGGCCCGCGGCCUAUCAGCUUGUUGGUGGGGUGAUGGCCCACCAAGGCGACGACGGGUAGCCGGCCUGAGAGGGCGACCGGCCACACUGGGACUGAGACACGGCCCAGACUCCUACGGGAGGCAGCAGUGGGGAAUCUUGCGCAAUGGGCGAAAGCCUGACGCAGCGACGCCGCGUGAGGGAUGACGGCCUGG
This 388-nucleotide ribosomal RNA is filed under the name uncultured bacterium. RNAcentral describes it as "bacterial SSU rRNA". It matches the Rfam family "Bacterial small subunit ribosomal RNA", at positions 28 to 419 of the family's 1533-position model. The record is from RNAcentral.